UUAUGGCCUGGAAAGAUAAGUUUUCUUCUCUUGAGUCCGAUCUCUACUCUUCCUCUGAAGUCAAGCAAAAACUGGAAGACCA
This 82-nucleotide small RNA is filed under the name Arabidopsis thaliana (thale cress). RNAcentral describes it as "ATSL206650". Lineage: Eukaryota; Viridiplantae; Streptophyta; Magnoliopsida; Brassicales; Brassicaceae. The record is from RNAcentral.